Molecule: long non-coding RNA, 415 nt
Organism: Mustela erminea (ermine)
Lineage: Eukaryota; Metazoa; Chordata; Mammalia; Carnivora; Mustelidae
Exons: 3
Source: RefSeq, a predicted model, not a curated record
GCCGGCUCAGGGCGGAGCAGCCGGGGAUGGCGGAGCGAAACACCGCCUGCUUCCCUUUUCCAUUAUCGCUCCUUCCUCUUCCCAAAAGCGCCUGUUGUGAGUUAGAUAAGUUCUUUGAAUGUGCUUGGUUCUAACUACAAACUUUACCCUCCUUGUUUGUCCACAAGACCCGUGACUAAUCUGUGGGCUAUUGUGUCUAUCUAAUCAAAGGGAGACUAAGGAGUUGCUGGGGGCAACAGUCUCUUCUGCUGUUGUCUCCUGCUCCCUUUCUCCUGCAGCUGACUUGUUUGUGCCUCAUUCUUCUCCCGUUUGCUGACUGGAAGCGGCAAGUGGCGCCCGAACAGGGACUUGAAACCAAACAGGAGAAGCAGCCUCAACACAGAGAUCACAAGUAGGCAGAGAGGCAGGCAGAGAG